UGAGCAGACCACCAACAAAGCCGCCGCGUUCUCCUCUGCGACACGCAACCUUUUUCCCUCCCCCUAUACACUAGAUCAGAUCCUUGAUAUAGAGAAGAACCCGCCUCCUCCUCCCAACCACAACUACCUCCAUCUCGGCAAGGUGAGCCCGUGAGUCUGGCUACCAUGAUUUUUCCCGCGAAACCCCCGUGUGCUCUCUGGUUCGCAGGUUCCUCGUCGAUCGACGGGCUGGGCUUGCGGCGAUCUUGGAGCGAGUUGCGAGGCGGCUGCAUCUUCCGGUCUGCCCGUCCGGCGAGUCAGAUCUGUUACCUAUCUGAUGGCCCGCGGCGGAUCUGGGGGUUCCCGGUGGUCUCGGGUUGACCCUGCGGCGAGGAAGGCGUCUUCUCCGGCAUGCACGUGGGGAUCCCGUCUUCUCCGCCUCGCGCGACGGCGGCUCUUGUAUUGAUAAUUAUCCGAUGAUAUCUCGAUAAUUAUUAGAUCUAAGAGAUCGGAGGUAAGAGCAUGUAACAAGCGAGGUGAUCGUGCCAAGAGGGAAAAAGGAGUGAAAAAAGAGAGAGAUGUGACACCUAGAGGCCUUUGCCAUGUUGGGUGCGCUCGCAUGGCAGGCCACCACCGUAAUAAAGAUGGUUCUUGUGUCCGGGGGGAGAUCGCACGGGGAUUUUUCUGUUUCAGCCCCGGGGUCUCCCCCCACCGUGUCCUGGUGUGCUCCUUUGUCUGCACCUCUCGUCCGAUCCAAUCUUCCUGGCACAACGUUCUACCGUCGCGAAUCGAUCAAGGAGCUACAAACCAAAGGUACAAUCGAUAAUCUACAGCUGAAGCAUACAUAAACUUGAGACAAAGUACUGCUCUCGUAAAUUGUAAUUCUGUUCUGAGCUUGUUUACACGGAGGAAUUCGUGAUCACUUGAACCCGUUUAAGUUACUCUCAGUCUCGUAGUUGUAGUGAAAUCAUUUGUCUGAUUCGCUGUUGAAUCUGCUAUCAUAUCACAGCUCAAAUUUGAACUUAAAUAACAAUCGGCAGUCUAAACAGAAGGCCAAAUCGUUUUGUUUUCUAUUUUUCCCCAGAAUAUGGUAUAUAUAUCAAGGGUUGUUAUUUUUUCUAAAUUUGUGUUCAUAUGUUUGUCUGCUCUCUUGAGAUGUACAAUGAUCACAAUUUGAUCGUGGUCUCUAUUUCAAUUUGAGAUGUACAAUGUACAAUGUUCAUAUGUUUGUCUGCUCUCCUGAAUAGCUUUAUGAUGGGAUUGUAUAGUCCAGAAAUUAAAUCUACAGCUAUCUUCCCUGGAUGUGGACAUCAUAUUUAUGAAGAAGCACCCUGCAGCAGAAGAAUCUAAACGUGGACCUCAAUUCUGGUCAUCAUAGGCUCAGCAGACUUCGAGAAACUGGUUAAGAUGUACUCCAGUAAAUUAUGUGCUAUUUGAUUCUUCUGCAUUUAGUCAGUGGUUAGUUUUAGUUCAAAUAUUACAUUCCAUAUAUCCCACACAUAAUUUCAUAUUGAGCAAGUCUAUUUUCAAUCUUCUGAACUUAUUUUUUCAGUUUUAAUAUAUCUGUCAGCAAUGAGUUUUAGUUGUGUUUUUGUCCAGUUGGGCACACAUAA
This is a long non-coding RNA of Triticum aestivum (bread wheat), 1592 nucleotides long. RefSeq lists it as uncharacterized. Lineage: Eukaryota; Viridiplantae; Streptophyta; Magnoliopsida; Poales; Poaceae. The transcript is spliced from 2 exons. The record is from RefSeq and is a predicted model, not a curated record.